AUUGAACGCUGGCGGCAUGCCUUACACAUGCAAGUCGAACGGUAACAGGUUAAGCUGACGAGUGGCGAACGGGUGAGUAAUAUAUCGGAACGUGCCCAGUCGUGGGGGAUAACGUAGCGAAAGCUACGCUAAUACCGCAUACGAUCUACGGAUGAAAGCGGGGGAUCGCAAGACCUCGCGCGAUUGGAGCGGCCGAUAUCAGAUUAGGUUGUUGGUGAGGUAAAAGCUCACCAAGCCUGCGAUCUGUAGCUGGUCUGAGAGGACGACCAGCCACACUGGAACUGAGACACGGUCCAGACUCCUACGGGAGGCAGCAGUGGGGAAUUUUGGACAAUGGACGCAAGUCUGAUCCAGCAAUGCCGCGUGCGGGACGAAGGCCUUCGGGUUGUAAACUGCUUUUGUACGGAACGAAACGGUGAGCUCUAAUACAGUUUGCUAAUGACGGUACCGUAAGAGUAAGCACCGACUAACUACGUGCCAGCAGCCGCAGUAA
This 493-nucleotide ribosomal RNA is filed under the name uncultured bacterium. RNAcentral describes it as "partial 16S ribosomal RNA". It matches the Rfam family "Bacterial small subunit ribosomal RNA", at positions 30 to 523 of the family's 1533-position model. The record is from RNAcentral.